UAACGCCAAAAGUUUCUUCUCGAUCCCAC
Molecule: small RNA, 29 nt
Filed under: Bombyx mori (domestic silkworm)
Lineage: Eukaryota; Metazoa; Arthropoda; Insecta; Lepidoptera; Bombycidae
Description: ovarian small RNA-18832
Source: RNAcentral